Long non-coding RNA from Gallus gallus (chicken), 2405 nucleotides. RefSeq lists it as uncharacterized. Lineage: Eukaryota; Metazoa; Chordata; Aves; Galliformes; Phasianidae. The record is from RefSeq and is a predicted model, not a curated record. The transcript is spliced from 2 exons.
AGCUCCUCCCACCUACCUGAUAACAAUGCAUGCUGUUUUGUCCGCUCUAACUGUAACUUCCUAGUCUCUGUUAUGAGAAGGUGGCUGCUUUUCAUAUUCAUGUUCUUCAAGAUGAGGUUGUCUUGUCAGAAGGAGAUUCUUCCUUUCAAAGUGAAGAACUCUCUGAGGAUGGCAUUGCUCUCACGAAGACUCACUGCUGGCUCUACCAGCUCUGGCUGGGAUGGAGUUAGAGGCAAGAAAGACUGAGCCAUCAAAACAUGUCACUCCUCAGCAUCGUACCAUGCUGUAAGAGGUUCAAAUUGCUUUUAUUUCCUUCAAAAAACGAGUCUAAGAUGUGUUUUAAUGUCUUUAUUCUUAGAUCAAACAAUGUCAUCACGGAAUCGAAGAACGAGGUUACUGGUUGAGAUACAAGAGAAGUGUGAGACAAAUAUGGAAGAUAACACUUCGCAAAUAAAUUAAUACAGAAUAAUUGUCUUUGCAUAGUUCAGAAGUGAAAAGUAGGAGGCAGCAGUGCGCACGUGCUGUGAACUGACACACACCACCACGAAAACCCAAGUUCCUAGAUGAACUCUUGUAGCUGCAAAUAAAACAAACCAAACCAAAAAUACCCCACGCCUCAGAGCACUAACUAUUAAAACCAGGCAGAAAGAGAACUAAUGAGCUUUUUUUUUUUUUUUUCUUUUUCUGUUGUUGUUGUUGAACAGACCAUGCUGCAGGAGUGUUUUCUCUACAGACAGAGGUGCUUUUAGAUAAUCUGCCUUGGCAUCCCGUAGCCCGUCAUACCCGACUGUGAGGCUCCUUUGUUGCUGCCCAUCUGAAGGCCUAUUACGUUCUGUCCCUGACGAAGCUGCUCUUCUGAAAAUCCUCGUCGAUUCUGCUGUGCUUUCCUGUACAGGUGCAUAGAAAAAACCAACACAGACACACAGUCAUUCUGCAUAUGACCAGAUGAUUGGGAAAAGCAAUCUGAAUUCGGCUUAUGUUAACAGCUCCUCCCCUUGUACUUGCAGUAUUUCAUUUGCACCAUCCCAGUGGGUGGACAAUACUGGCUGGGCUAAUUGCUUUCCUGCAGUUAGAAGAAGUGCUCUCUUUAAACCCACAUCACUUCAGUCUUUCACUGUACUGCCUACUCACAACCUUCAGGAUCAUAGCGUCCCCAGCAUCUCUGAUAGGUAAAAUAUUUAUGUAAUACUGUGUAUACCACUCGUGAUAGAGUUAGUAUUUUGUCCUAUAGCUCUUAGAAGCUGUAGUCUAUGGGAUCUGAUCACUAAGAUACUUAUCCAUGCUGUAGUACAAAUUGAUAUCCGUCUAGAGCAAUGGUAUACAUUCAACUCAGUGGAGUAAAUGUGAGUGCAGCGUACCCAGAGAAACAAAGGGACAGCAAAGUGGCUUGCUCAUUUUCACAAGUGUGGAUGAUAGUUGCCUGCAGGACAGAACAAUUGCCCUGCUGCCAUUUCCAGAUCUCUCUCCUCUAAAGCAACAGACUUCAGUCUUUGCACCUGUGUCUUAACUGUAUGACAGUCCUUUAUCUUCUGCCAAAACAUGCUGACCACUUUUGCUUGGAGUUAGCAGUCUCAAAAGCCAUCUAGAUCAAUGAAUCUUUGUUGGACCUUAAAAAGAGUCUCUUUUCCCUGAAAAUAGCGUUGGGGAAAAAAAGAAGCAGCACAAAAGUUUGUACUCGAUUAGUCUUUCAUUUACACAAGGUGGGGAAAACAAGUCACUUAGAAGGGAGAAGGAUCAGUCUGUUGCUGCUAAAUAAAUGGCAAGAACCUGCAGUCUCAAAGGGAGGGAGGCUUUCAGCCAGCUCUCAUCCAGGCACAAUCUCUCUGCUAUCUGUGUCUGUUUGUCCUGGGAUCAGGUUAUCUAGCAAUAUGGCAUCACAUUGCAAUUCCCUUUUCUCCUCAACCCCAUCACAAGAUGGGAAUGUUAGAGUGGGUGCCUACUGUGAUCGAAAGCUAUCAACGCAAUCCUCUGUGAGGGUCUGAUCCUGUGCUGUGGCUGAGCACCGUGGCUCAAGUGCAGAAGAGCACUUCAGAUCUCUCAAGAAUGGAUCCCACUGCCAAUGUGGGGUUUUCCCCAUGAGCCUAAGGUCUUCGGAGAUGGGCGAGCGUUCUUUCCCUCUUUAUCCUUUUUGCCAUUUCACUCUUGUAUCACCUUUCCACCACACUAAUCUUUCCAACUGUAAAAGCAUGCCAUUUUGGAGGCUGGCACACAGAAUUUUGGGCUUCUCAUACAGCAAUUCCAUCUCACUGCUGCUAAAUUUCUUUUCCAGAAUCCUUACAUAGGCAGCAAACCACUGCCAGGAUCUCUGAGAGAGGAUGUUUUCGGAACUACUCCUAUUACGUAACUGAAUCUCAGUUCCACUGUGACUGUCUCUAUUUUAAUUAAAAUCCCAGGAACACAAUCUA